RNAcentral lists this ribosomal RNA (673 nucleotides) under uncultured Methylobacter sp. Its description in RNAcentral is "bacterial SSU rRNA". It matches the Rfam family "Bacterial small subunit ribosomal RNA", at positions 44 to 715 of the family's 1533-position model. The record is from RNAcentral. Lineage: Bacteria; Pseudomonadati; Pseudomonadota; Gammaproteobacteria; Methylococcales; Methylococcaceae.
AUGCUUAACACAUGCAAGUCGAACGGUAGCAGGCCUUCGGGCGCUGACGAGUGGCGGACGGGUGAGUAACGCGUAGGAAUCUGCCUUAUAGUGGGGGACAACGUGGGGAAACCCACGCUAAUACCGCAUACGCCCUACGGGGGAAAGGAGGGGCUCUUCGGACCUUUCGCUAUGAGAUGAGCCUGCGUUAGAUUAGCUAGUUGGUAGGGUAAAAGCCUACCAAGGCGACGAUCUAUAGCUGGUCUGAGAGGACGAUCAGCCACACUGGGACUGAGACACGGCCCAGACUCCUACGGGAGGCAGCAGUGGGGAAUAUUGGACAAUGGGCGCAAGCCUGAUCCAGCAAUACCGCGUGUGUGAAGAAGGCCCUAGGGUUGUAAAGCACUUUCAAUGGGGAGGAAAACCUGCUGGUCAAUACCCGGUAGCUUGACAUUACCUUUAGAAGAAGCACCGGCUAACUCCGUGCCAGCAGCCGCGGUAAUACGGAGGGUGCGAGCGUUAAUCGGAAUUACUGGGCGUAAAGCGUGCGUAGGCGGUUCGUUAAGUCAGAUGUGAAAGCCCUGGGCUCAACCUGGGAAUGGCAUUUGAUACUAGCGGGCUCGAGUCUGAUAGAGGGGGGUGGAAUUCCAGGUGUAGCGGUGAAAUGCGUAGAUAUCGGAAGGAACACCAGUGG